AGGACGAACGCUGGCGGCGUGCUUAACACAUGCAAGUCGAACGGAAAGGCCCUGCUUUUGUGGGGUGCUCGAGUGGCGAACGGGUGAGUAACACGUGAGUAACCUGCCCUUGACUUUGGGAUAACUUCAGGAAACUGGGGCUAAUACCGGAUAGGAGCUCCUGCUGCAGUGGUGGGGGUUGAAAGUUUCGGCGGUUGGGGAUGGACUCGCGGCUUAUCAGCUUGUUGGUGGGGUAUGGCUUACCGAGGCUUUGACGGGUAGCCGGCCUGAGAGGGUGACCGGCCACAGUUGGGACUGAGAUACGGCCCAGACUCCGUACGGGAGCAGCAGGUGGGAAUAGUGCACGAAGUGGGCGGAAGCCUGAUGCAGCGAACGCGCGUGACGGGAUGGACGGUCCUUAGGGUUACGUAACCGUCGUUUCGGCCUAGGU
RNAcentral lists this ribosomal RNA (430 nucleotides) under uncultured soil bacterium. Its description in RNAcentral is "bacterial SSU rRNA". It matches the Rfam family "Bacterial small subunit ribosomal RNA", at positions 26 to 447 of the family's 1533-position model. The record is from RNAcentral.